Non-coding RNA from Oncorhynchus mykiss (rainbow trout), 3599 nucleotides. The record is from RefSeq and is a predicted model, not a curated record. NCBI's taxonomy places the organism in Eukaryota, Metazoa, Chordata, Actinopteri, Salmoniformes, Salmonidae.
CUACCGCGCGCCCGGGCAUCAGGUUACGGUUUAGCUCAAAGAGAGGCGCAAAGCGGGGGACGUCUGGUUCCAAGCAGUGAACGAGAAAGAGCCAGAGGAGGGAGAGAGAGCAAGUCCUGACCCGUGGUAGACUAGACCACUUCUAACUAUGAGUCCCUCGUCUACCAGCCUACUGUACAAUAAAUAACUCCAGACUCAGGGACAAAGAGGACAUUGCUAAAGCCCAGCCUACUGCUGCGUGGUGGGCAUCCGGGCAGUGCAUGCACGAAUACAUGCUCCAGCUCAGUUGGACCUCUCACAUGUUCUAUCUAGGACGAAUAGGAAAUAUUCACUACAUUAAGUCACUGCAGUUCCCCUGCUCUGGGGGAAGAGAGGAGAAGGGUGGGAUGAGGAGAAGAGACGGAUAAAGUGUGUUCUGACGGGAGUUCUGACUGAUGGAUGCGUGUUGUCAUCUAUUCUAUGAAGUAAAGCGACAGAUACAGAGAGCGUUGCUGGGAGAUGGUAUUCACCUGACAAAGACAUCGGCCGUUAGGCUACCCUCCUGACAGCAGUACUAGCCUGCAGAGAAACCUCGGUAUAGGUUACCUGAUCUAACGAGGAACCGGAUCGGUGUGACAUUAGGGACACAUACGCGAAGAAAGAACUUCCCCCGUUUCUUAGCUGCAAGUCAACGGUAUCACAUUGGCUUUCAUCCCGCCUUGAACCUCUUAACAACCGUAAUUUAGAGCCAACCGCUGUUGACACGAGCGCUUUGCGGACGGUUCAACCAAGGACAGCAGAGGUUUGAACGGGGAUCUGAAGACACGUCGGACAGAGAGACAUGUAUCUAACAUCGACCUCAUAUGCACCCGACUGACAAACACACAAGCCACAGAAGAAAGCGGUAGAUAGCGGCUACUGCACCGCCACGCGCACGGCGGGUCCGGUGCUCUCCCCGGCUCACUCUGUCUCCCGGUUGUGAGAAUGGCAGGGGUCGCGUGUUGGAAAUGUUACCUCUGGAUCUUUAUUGUCGUGUUUAGGUCGACGUUACCUUCUGACGCCAAAUCACUGGAAACUAUAAUGUGGAGCACUCAGAAUGCAAAGUUCCUGUCAGGUAGAGGGGUGGUCAUCUACCCAGAUAUCGGGGACAAGCUGGACAUUAUCUGCCCCAAGGCUGAGCCAGGACGAGACUAUGAGUUCUAUAAGCUGUACCUGGUCAGGAGGGAGCAGGCAGAGGGGUGCAGCACGGUCAUGGACCCCAACGUACUGGUCAACUGUAACAAGCCAGAGAAGGACAUCAAGUUCACCAUCAAGUUCCAGGAGUUUAGUCCCAACUAUAUGGGCCUGGAGUUUAAGAAGAAUAUGAAUUACUACAUCACAUCCACAUCCAAUGGUUCAGUCGAAGGCCUGGAGAACAGAGAGGGAGGAGUCUGUAAGACCAAGGCCAUGAAAGUGGUUAUGAAGGUCGGACAAGACCCCAACACUGUUCUACCAGACCCUGUAUUACCAGAGGAACCCGAGAGAGGGAAGGACAACGCUCUGGGAGGAGACUUCAGUCCUAGCCCUGAGGACAACCAGCUGCCUGGAGCAGGAGAGCCAGGCAACACUGACUCUAUAAACCAGGACAACAGGUCAGGAGGUUCCAGCAGCAGUGACAGCAUCCUGGGGUCAAAGGUUGCUGUGUUUUCAGCCAUCGGAGCUGGCUGCAUCAUCUUCCUCCUCCUCAUCCUCUUUCUCGUCAUCCUGCUCAUCAAGAUGAGGAAGAGAGUCCAGAAGCACUCUCACGCCCAGCCACACCCCUCCACCAUGGCACUCAGCACGCUGUCCAAUCAGAGCAAGCUGCCUGGCAGCGGGGGCACAGCCGGGACGGAACCCAGUGACAUCAUCAUCCCACUGCGGACGGAGAAUAACUACUGCCCUCACUACGAGAAGGUGAGCGGUGACUACGGACACCCUGUUUAUAUCGUACAGGAGAUGCCUCCGCAGAGCCCAGCCAACAUCUACUACAAAGUCUGAGAGGAGGAGAGGAGAGAACAUCUACUACAAAGUCUGAGAGAGGAGGAGAGGAGAGAACAUCUACUACAAAGUCUGAGAGAGGAGGAGAGGAGAGAACAUCUACUACAAAGUCUGAGAGGAGGAGAGGAGAGAACAUCUACUACAAAGUCUGAGAGAGGAGGAGAGGAGAGAACAUCUACUACAAAGUCUGAGAGGAGGAGAGGAGAGAUGGAACAUCCACUUCAGUGUGAGUUGAAGAGAGAAGGACAGGAGAGAUGGAACAUCCACUGCAGUGAACCUUGUCAGUUCCCUCACCGUGUACUGUGACCCCUCUGCCUGACUGGCUGUCAGCUACGGACCCAUUGAGGAGGAGUCUGAAAAGAAAGCCUCUUCCUCAGACUCACCUUCCUCCUCCUCGUCUCCAUCUCCCAUCCUGACCACCUACCUCUCUAGUCGGCGCCCCUCCCACCCCAGCACUAUAGCAUGACUAGACCCAGCCUCAUCUACACCACCAUCUAUAACAUGACUAGACCCAGCCUCAUCUACACCACCAUCCUCUGUAAUAAACGGAAGCAGAUUCGCAACUACAACCCUUGUUGAAGGAGUCGAAAGAGGAGAAAUCAGCACCAACACAUCCCCUACAAAUAUUCCUCUAGCAAUCAGCCUACCCACCAAAUUCACUAUUUUCAUGAACACAACCAGAGCUUUGUUCAUUCUGGAAGCAGAAUGUCUAAAUUCUGUUCACUGACCACGAGCAGGACCUCCUCCACUUUAACUCCAUUCUCAGGAACGCACCUGAAUCCAUGUCGUAACGACAGUGUCUCCUCCACGCUAGGCUGAGACGCCAUCACACACACUACACCUUCCAAACCCCAAGAAACUAAAACUCUGUCCUCUUCCAACCUAACUUUGAAAAAAACAGCAGGUACCGCUAAACUAAGUGUGUUAACUCUCCACCGUAGAAAAUAAACCAACAGUGUUAACCCUCCAUCAUAGACAAUAAACUAACAGUGUUAACCCUCCACCAUAGACAAUAAACUAACAGUGUUAACCCUCCACCAUAGACAAUAAACUAACAGUGUUAACUCUCCACCAUAGACAAUAAACUAACAGUGUUAACCCUCCACCAUAGACAAUAAACUAACAGUGUGUUAACCCUCCACCAUAGACAAUAAACUAACAGUGUUAACUCUCCACCGUAGACAAUAAACUAACAGUGUUAACCCUCCACCGUAGAAAAUAAACUAACAGUGUUAACUCUCCACCGUAGACAAUAAACUAACAGUGUUAACCCUCCACCAUAGACAAUAAACUAACCGUGUUAACCCUCCACCAUAGACAAUAAACUAACAGUGUGUUAACCCUCCACCAUAGACAAUAAACUAACCGUGUGUUAACCCUCCACCAUAGACAAUAAACUAACCGUGUGUUAACCCUCCAACAUAGACAAUAAACUAACCGUGUGUUAACCCUCCAACAUAGACAAUAAACUAACCGUGUGUUAACCCUCCAACAUAGACAAUAAACUAACCGUGUGUUAACCCUCCACCAUAGACAAUAAACUAACCGUGUGUUAACCCUCCAACAUAGACAAUAAACUAACCGUGUGUUAACCCUCCACCAUA